This is a long non-coding RNA of Urocitellus parryii (Arctic ground squirrel), 1135 nucleotides long. RefSeq lists it as uncharacterized. The record is from RefSeq and is a predicted model, not a curated record. NCBI's taxonomy places the organism in Eukaryota, Metazoa, Chordata, Mammalia, Rodentia, Sciuridae.
GCGGACCUGUUGUUUGGUAUGUGUGCGAAUGGGUGUCAGGCCAGUACCGAGGCUCCGUGUAUAGUUGGGACUGGCGUACUUUGAAGCGAUCUCGGAGCCUUGAUCCUAGAGUGCUAGUUGUUGGAAGUUUGCACAUGCAGAACGCGCCGCCGGGUCGCCACGUGCCUUGAAUAGAGUCCGGGAGACAACUUACUGAAGGGCCUAUGGCGCCACGAACGGAGGUUUUCUGGCUUAGGCCCAGGGCAGGCCUGAGCCUGAGCGUCGACGGGAAAGUCACCUGAGGAUUUACAAAAGAUUAUUUCAACAUGAACAGCCCCAGCUCUUUAUGGACCUUGGUGCUGCUUGAAACCCAGGCGGCGCUGUAUGCAGUACGAUUUAACGAGUGGGAGAGAAUUAACUGCAGGGAAAAAAAUUUAAACGUGACAUUCUGAGAAUGUUUGAUUGCAAGCAUCGAUCCCCCGCAGUAAUGAUGGCGCUAGCUUUCAGUGGUCAAUCGGAGCGGCUACAUGGACAUAAAAAGAUGCAUAAGAAAAUCCCAAAACAUGUCAUGGAAUGUUUAGCAAAGAAUUAAUUGCUUAAAACCUGACAGUCAACGCUUGUGAUUGUGACUGUGUGCCCACUCAGGCCAGUUUGCUGUAAAAUUCAUAAGACAGAACAAUUUCUGACUAGCACCACAAAGUCUCCUUUUUCUACUAUGAAAACCUGGUGAUAAGAGUAAUCCAGAAAAAGCAGACAUGAAGAGAAAACAUACAGUUUGGGAUUCUAUUUUUUUUAACCAUAGCUAAACCAUGAACUAAUGGGUUUUUAACAGGAGGGUCUUGAACUUUGCAUAAUUAACCUUGUCAAAUUAUUCCUCAGUGUUUUGCCAUUAAUCACCUCUUGAAUUUAAGAUACAUAAUUGUAAUUAAAACUGAGUCAAAGUUGACACUGCCUUAUAAUUUAGUUUCUUAUAGAGAUGUCUGGUUAUUGAUUACAAUAACUGGUUAAUAUAACAAUAAAAUUUUUUAUUAACCCAUUUGAGUCCCAAGUUUUCAAUUCUGAAACUAUUCCCAUGAAAUUAUUGACACUGGUAUGUUAAAAUAGUUGGGAAAUCUUAUCAACCUUUCCCUAUCCUGUCCAGCACCCUAUUCUUAGU